UGCGCAUGCGCAGUGCGAAGUCGCGUCUUUUUCGACAGCUCUGGUGGAUUUGAGGUGAAAUUGAUCAAUAAAAUUAGGAUAUAAUAAAAAUAUAGAUUAAAAAAACUCAUCUUCAUUAUAGUCUACAUUUAUAAAGAGAGCAGCUGAGCCCGGGUUUACCGCGCUGGCCUUAAGGGAAUGAGGGAUGACGUCGGUUGUGUUGGUAGACAGUGGAGGAGCGGUGCUUGAGUAUGUCACUGCAGUGGAAGAUCUACAUCAGGAGGAGGAUGUGUGUGAGGUUGAAGGAGUGUGUGAAGGAGUGUGUGAGAUAGAGGAGGUGUGUGAGGAUGUGUGUGAGGUAGAGGAGGUGUGUGAUCAGGAAGAAGAGGAGGUGUACUCACCUGCAGAGGUGUUUGUGUACGAGGAAAACACAGAGCUGAUGCAGGGGGUCGCUGAGGAACAGGAAGUGGAGACAGAAGUAUUGGAAACAGUGGAGGCGUCAGUACAUGGAGGCUCCACUGUUCACUGCACUGAUAAAACAAUUGAAGCAGCAGAAGCUCUCUUGCACAUGGACUCACCAUCCAGCAUUCGGGGAGACCGUAGUCCAGAGGUGUUUGUUCCGCCAUGCGUGUCCUCUCCAGAGUUUUUGCACGCUGCCAUGCGUCCUGAUGUUGUCACAGAAACGGUGGUGGAGGUCAGUACUGAGGAGGCGGAGCCUGUGGAGGUGGUGACCUUAAUUAAGGAGCCCCGAGGGAUUGAGAGAGAUGGCAGGAAGAAGAAAACUGGGAGGAAGCCCAUUAAGCCCCACCCCAUCUCCAACGGACAAUCUCCAUCUCCAGAUUUAGGCAUCAAAAAGAAGUCAAGAGAAGGCAAAGGCAGUACAUACCUGUGGGAGUUUCUGUUGGACCUUCUGCAGGAUAAGAACACCUGCCCCAGGUACAUUAAGUGGACUCAAAGGGAGAAGGGCAUCUUCAAGCUGGUGGACUCGAAAGCCGUGUCCAAGCUGUGGGGGAAACACAAGAACAAACCCGACAUGAACUACGAGACCAUGGGACGUGCCCUCAGGUACUAUUAUCAGAGGGGGAUCCUGUCGAAGGUUGAAGGUCAGAGGUUGGUGUACCAGUUUAAGGAGAUGCCUAAAGACAUUAUUGUGAUUGAUGAUGAUAAAUGUGACACAGAUGAUCUGGGCGGGGCUUACGAACACGUCAUGGCCGCCGACCUCUCCAAAACCUCCAGCAUUCUGAGAGGGGCGGGGCCAGUUAUAAGUCCUGCCUCUUCCAAAGCCAAGCCCUCCACCACCAUCACGCCCAUCCAACGCAUAGUGACCGUCUCCACGGCGACCGAGUCACCGCACACAGCGAUUAUUCCUAACACCAAUGCACCCAGGACUGUCCGAGUCGCUAUGCAAGUCCCUGUUGUCAUGACGACACCCCUGGGUCAGAAGAUCUCGCCUGUCACCAUCUCAACGGCGACCUCACCCCCGUCCAGUGUUACCACGGCAACCGGAGCCUCCACCCCAAAGGUUUUGAUUCAGACGGUUCCAGCGGUGGAGAGCAGCGAUAAGAUCACGCUACAGCUCGCCAAGAUCAUCACCAUCACCCCCAUCACCCUCGCCCUGCCCCCAGGCACAGGCUCCGCCCACCCCCACAGCCCCACCCCCAGCCCUCAACUUCCUGUCCACAUACACGUUCAGUCUGACAAUCACACCACACACACCGAUCCCACCCAACAGGAAGUGGAGAGACACACACACGUCAUAGCUCACACACACAGCUAAAGGGAGAGAAGCUCUCUCUCACACACACACACACACACACACACACACACACACCAGUCAAACAGGAAGUGGAUAUACACACAGGAAGUAGUCAUAGCUCAAAUUGUUGGAGCCAGACUGUCAUGGAACACACACACACACACACACACACAGUGAGACUGUUAAAGGGACCAGCGUGAGACUGCAGCUCGCACUGAAUAGCACUACAUAUCAGAGGAACACUACACACAACAUGGGACAUCAAACUGACUGUACAUACCGAGGUGUGUGUGUGUGUGUGUGUGUGUGUGUGUGUGUGUGUGUGUGUGUGUGUGUGUGUGUGUAUACCGAGCGCAGUAUUAGACAGCUGUUCAGAUAUAAGGCUGUUUUCAAGGUCAAAGUUCAACAAGCUGUUCACCAUCCUCUCUUCCUUUUCUUUCCUCCUCUCUCUCUCUCGUGUGUGUGUGUGUGUGUGUGUGUGUAAAUGUGUGUGUGUGUGUGUGUGGAAAUGUGUGUGUGUGGGGGGACAGCAGUAUGAUGAUCAUGUUUGAAUAUUGAACAUUAGAAUUGUACACUCUAUUUUGUUGUACUCUGUAUUCCAGUAGAUUUUACUGAAUUAUAAACGACUGAAUUCA
RNA transcript from Silurus meridionalis, 2370 nucleotides. It is a transcript of the gene named E74-like factor 2b (ets domain transcription factor), with no coding region annotated. NCBI's taxonomy places the organism in Eukaryota, Metazoa, Chordata, Actinopteri, Siluriformes, Siluridae. The record is from RefSeq and is a predicted model, not a curated record. The transcript has 10 exons.